This 72-nucleotide transfer RNA is filed under the name Phrynosoma platyrhinos (Desert horned lizard). Its description in RNAcentral is "tRNA-OTHER". It matches the Rfam family "tRNA". From Rfam's summary of the family: Transfer RNA (tRNA) molecules are approximately 80 nucleotides in length. Their secondary structure includes four short double-helical elements and three loops (D, anti-codon, and T loops). Lineage: Eukaryota; Metazoa; Chordata; Lepidosauria; Squamata; Phrynosomatidae. The record is from RNAcentral.
GCCAGUGUGGUGUAGUGGUUUGAGCAAUGGACUAUGACUCUGGAGAUCUGGGUUUGAAUCCCUGCUCUGUCA